Molecule: ribosomal RNA, 541 nt
Filed under: uncultured soil bacterium
Lineage: Bacteria
Description: bacterial SSU rRNA
Rfam family: Bacterial small subunit ribosomal RNA
Source: RNAcentral
GCUGGCGGCGUGCUUAACACAUGCAAGUCGAGUGCGCGUUUCCGUAGCAAUACGGAGAUGGCGCACGGCGCACGGGUGCGUAACACGUGGGUAAUCUGCCCUCUGAUGGGGAAUAACUCGCCGAAAGGCGAGCUAAUUCCGCAUAACAUUCCUUGGACUCCGGUUCGAGGAUUCAAAGGCGUAAGUCGUCGGAGGUGGAGCCCGCGCACGAUUAGCUAGUUGGUGAGGUAAUGGCUCACCAAGGCUUUGAUCGUUAGCUGGUCUGAGAGGAUGGCCAGCCACACUGGAACUGAGACACGGUCCAGACUCCUACGGGAGGCAGCAGUGGGGAAUCUUGCACAAUGGGCGAAAGCCUGAUGCAGCGACGCCGCGUGGGGGAUGAAGCUUCUCGGAGUGUAAACCCCUUUCGACCGGGACGAAUACCUCGCAAGAGGGGUGACGGUACCGGUAUAAGAAGCCCCGGCUAACUACGUGCCAGCAGCCGCGGUAAGACGUAGGGGGCCAGCGUUGCUCGGAAUUACUGGGUGUAAAGGGUUCGUAG